Long non-coding RNA from Pogoniulus pusillus (Red-fronted tinkerbird), 777 nucleotides. RefSeq lists it as uncharacterized. NCBI's taxonomy places the organism in Eukaryota, Metazoa, Chordata, Aves, Piciformes, Lybiidae. The record is from RefSeq and is a predicted model, not a curated record. The transcript is spliced from 3 exons.
UCUCACAGGUCCUUCUCCUGAGCUGGCUGAAGUGGAGGUGUGUUAAGCAUCCAAACAUCUCAAUGUUUCUCCAAGUGUCAGCAGGAACCUCAAGUGGUUUGAUUUUGGGUGUGUGCCAGCCAAGACAUGGAGCAUCCUCAUUUACUGAGGGCCAGUGACCCAAGCAGAGGAUGAAGGAAGCUCUGCUGUGAAACUCCAUGUACAGCUUUCAGAAUCCCCAGGGGUGCAUCUCCAGCUGCAGCAUGAGACCCUUAGCAUCUGCUCCCCCAGCUGAAAUCUCUGAUCGGUCUAUGAGGAUAGUUCCUGUUACUGCACUCCAAGAAGGGAUGUUAGAGGAGCUGUUCUUCCUAGUCCUGUUUUAUUUGGUGGUCUGCAGUGGAUGCUUCAACCCUCCAAGGAACCCCAUAUCCCAAGUAAGUGGCUGUUUGUGCGGUGAUCUCCAGGCAUUUUGAGCUCUACCCAACCCGCCAGUAUUUAUGGCGUGUCAGACUGCCUUUGACAGGGACUGCCCUUCCUCCAUCCCUCUCUCCCUCCCCCUUCUCUUGCCUGAGCAGCCUGUAGCAGUGACUCCAGCAUCCCCAUCCUUUGGAACAGCUUAGAGAUGCUCGGUAAUAUCCAUCAUCUCGCACAGAAGGUGCUGAUUCCUCUGACCCAUUAUCAAUCUAAAGGUUAGGUAUUCUAAUACUUUGAUUCACAUGAUGUUUUCGCUCAGUUCUGCCAUACCUGGCUUCAGCAGCUUAUCUCGGUCCCUCCCUCUCCAGCUAGAGGGAAUCUGAA